Molecule: ribosomal RNA, 300 nt
Filed under: uncultured Aeromonas sp.
Lineage: Bacteria; Pseudomonadati; Pseudomonadota; Gammaproteobacteria; Aeromonadales; Aeromonadaceae
Description: partial 16S ribosomal RNA
Rfam family: Bacterial small subunit ribosomal RNA
Source: RNAcentral
CUAUGUGUGGGCCAGUAGGCGAGGUAAUAAGUGGGGUUGGAGCGUUGUCGGGAAUUACUGUGCGGUAAGAGGGAGUGGGGGGUUUGGCGGGUCGUGUGUGAAAUUCCGGGGCUGAACUCCGGUCGUGCAGGCGAUACGGGCAGAACUUGAGUACUGUAGGGGAGACGGGAAUUCCUGGUGUAGCGGUGAAAUGCGCAGAUAUCAGGAGGAACACCGGUGGCGAAGGCGGGUCUCUGGGCAGUAACUGACGCUGAGGAGCGAAAGCAUGGGGAGCGAACAGGAUUAGAUACCCGUGUAGUC